Scylla paramamosain (green mud crab) is the source of this 2892-nucleotide long non-coding RNA. RefSeq lists it as uncharacterized. NCBI's taxonomy places the organism in Eukaryota, Metazoa, Arthropoda, Malacostraca, Decapoda, Portunidae. The record is from RefSeq and is a predicted model, not a curated record. The transcript has 3 exons.
UGAAUGGGGGAAAGAAAUGGAGAAAGAAGGAAUAGAUAAAGAUAAACAAAAGGGAAUAUAGAAAGAAUAAAGAUAAAUUGAGUUCAGUAGAAGGAAGAGGAGGAGAAACAGCUAGAGACAGAAAUGGCAACACACACACACAUACACACACGAGUUAUGGACAAACGUACACACACGCACACACAGACAAACGUACACACCACACCCACGCUUCUCUUCCCCUCUCUCCUCCUUCCCUCCUACCCCUCUUCUCCUUGCCUCCUACCCUCUCCUCUCUUCUCUCUCCUUCUUCAGUUCCUUCACUACCGCUGUGUGGGUUGGUCGCUUUGCACGCGGGCGAGAAGUAAACAAGGAAAAAUGAUACACGGGAAUACAUGAAUGGGAAUGAAGGCUGUGUGACUGAUGGCUCGUGAUAACAGAUUUGAAUUCCACGUCUCAAUAAGCUGACAAUGGGACGACCACCACCACCAUCUCCACUACCCAUCACCACCACCACCCUGCUUCCCUCACUCCCCCUCUCCCUCCUCCUACUCCUCCUCCACCUGCUCUGUCUCACUCAAGGGACUGGCUUCACCCAUCACCCUGCAGCCUCCCCACCCAGAGAGGAAUGGGGAAUGAGAGGAAAGGGGAAUUUUGUGGAGAGUGAGAGUGGGGAAGAGCAGCAGGAGGAGGAGGAAGAGGAGCAGGAGGAGGAGGAGGAGGAUGGAGGAGAAGAUUGGGAGGUUGAGGAAGAGAGUGUGGUGUUUUCUUCUUCCCCAGCUGUGGGGAGGCAGAGGGGGGCAGCAGCAGGGGUUGGGGGGGAUGUGUGGUGGCAGGUGGUGGUGCCUGAGGACCCAGCGGGGGGAGCUGAGCCUGCUAGGUGGGAUGGGUGGCCCUCCCUACACCCCCUCCCCCCACAUGGCCCCCACCCGACCUCUCCCUCCCUCCCCAGUGACUACGAGAUGCUGCAGGAAGGAUGGACCGAGUAUGCUGUGACUUGAGUGUGUGUGUGUGUGUGUGUGUGUGUUCUAUUCUUCAAUUUUGUUCUACUAUUUAUUUUUCUUUAUUUUCAGAUUUUUGCUAACCAUCCUCUCUCUCUCUCUCUCUCUCUCUCUCUCUCUCUCUCUCUCUCUCUCUCUCUCUCUCUCUCUCUCUCUCUCUCUCUCCUAUUGUUUGUUUUUAUACUUUUCACCUCCCCUUUUUUUUCCAUUCAUAUUUUUUCAUCUUGUUAUCCCUGUCUUUUGGUUCCCCAUCUCACUGUCUGUCUCAACAUGCCAUUACUUGUGAGGUAGUGAAGAUGAGAUGAGGCAAUUAAGAGAUAAAACAAUGAUGGUGAGACACAACGACAAUGGUGGUGAUAAUUUCUUCAUAAUGUCACAUCCUAUUAUCAUUCAAGAUGACCUAAUGAGGUGAUAAAUGAUGAUGAUGAUGAUGAUGAUGAUGAUGAUGAUGAUGGUGAUGAUGAUGAUGAUGAUGAUGGUGAUGGUGAUAAAAAUGAUGGGAAUAAUGAUGGUGAUGACAAUGAUGAUGGUAAUGAUGAUGAUGAUGAUGAUGGGAAUAAUGAUUGUGGUGAUGAUGAUGAUGAUGAUGCCACAUAAUUAAUGAGGUAGUAAUGACCAGGUAACAAGGCAACAGGUGGUUAAUUAAGGUAGAGUGAUAGGUAAUUAAGAGGAAAAAAAAUAAACAAAGAAAAAAGAAAGACAAAAGAAAGAAUGGAUGAGAGAAGAUAUAAAUGAGUAAAUAAUGGAAAUACACAGACAGGUAUGGGUGAUUAAGGUUAACGAGUGACAGUUAAGGUAGCGAGAUCGUUUGAAUGGUCCAGGUAAUUAGAGGUGAAUAAUCCUGUAUAAUACUCCUUCUGUAAUGAAUAAUUGUGGUUCUGUUAAGUAUAAUUACCUAAUUAUUAUUAUUAUUUUUUUUUUUUGUAAUUCUGCCAAAGUAUGUGCAUUUGUAUAUGUGUGUGUAUAGUAUGUAGUGUUAAUUUUGUACACACACACACACACACACACACACACACACACACAGUUGUUAAAAAGUUGUUGAUUUCCAUGAUAAGACCAAGAUUGGAAUAAGCAGUAGUGGUGUGGUCUCCUCUUAUAAAGAGGAAUAUUAUAAAAUUAGAAAGAGUACAAAGAGCAGUCACUAAGAUGGUUCCAGAGUUGAGUAAGUCGAUUUAUGAAGAGAGAUUAAGAAUGUUGGAAAUUCCUACCCUUGAAAAUAGGAGAGAGAGAGGAUUUAAUAAACAUCUAUAGAAUGAUAAAUGGUAUGGAAAAUGUGGACAAAGAAUGUUUUAUAACUUUAGACAUACAGAGUACAAGGGGACACAGUAAGAAGCUGAAGGAAGUGAACUGUAGAAGAGACAUCAAGAAGUAGAGUUUUCCUCACAGAAGUGUGAACAAACGGAAUGAACUCAGUGAAAACGCUGUCAAUGCCGUAACUGUCCGUGCUUUUAAGACCAAACUGGAUAGAUAUAGAGACGGGACACUAUGAGAUUACUCCCCUCCCGUAAACCACAACUAGGUAAAUACACACGCACACACACACUUUCUUGCCUAGAUCAGUUUAAUUUAAGGAUAGGUUAAGUUAGGUUAUCGUCAACUUAACCUAAUGAAAUGUAAACUAACCUAAUCUAAACACACACACACACACACACACACACACACACACGCACACACACCAUACACACACACACACACACAUUUUUUUUUACUUUACUACAAGUUUAUCUUUUUUAAGCUGACUUCAUUUGUUCUUUUGUUUAUCUUUGUCUAUUUUCACCUUUUCAUUCCUAUUAAUUAUUUACUUUUAACAUCUCAUCCGUCCACACACACACACACACACACACACACACACACACACACACACACACACACACACACACACACACACACACACACACACAUACACACACAC